This is a long non-coding RNA of Sapajus apella (tufted capuchin), 795 nucleotides long. RefSeq lists it as uncharacterized. The record is from RefSeq and is a predicted model, not a curated record. The transcript has 2 exons. NCBI's taxonomy places the organism in Eukaryota, Metazoa, Chordata, Mammalia, Primates, Cebidae.
CUAAAGGAUGCUGGCAGGGCUGGAAUUGUAUUUUUCCAAAGAUAUGUUGAAGUCCCCACCUCCAGCACCUGUGAAUAGGACUUUGUUUGGAAAUAAUUGCAGGUGUAAAGAUGAGGUCAUGCUGGUGUCGGCAGAGGAAGAGGAUCCCAGGCUAAGGGGGCAGUGUUUGCAACAGUUCUGGAAAGGCAAAACCUUAGCAAGUUUAAGGAACUGGAAGAAAGCUUAUGAGGUCCAGCCUCACCUGUCCACUGGAGCUGUGGACCAGAUGGCAGGAGCGUCAUGGAACUUGUCUGGAUGCUGGCAAUGGUGAUGGGGGCCAGGGAGGUUACUCAGCAGGAGAGUGGCAGGACCUGGUGUGUGAGAGGAUGAUUCUGCCACAGGUUAUAGAGGGCAUGGAGGGAGCCCAGAAAGGUCAUUGCAGGGAGAUGGUGCAGUGAGAAGGAGCUGGUGGAAGGUGUAAAGUCUUUUAGGCCAACUGACUGCACCAUGGACUGCGUGGUAACCUCUGUGACCUGCACGUACACCUCCAGAUGAGUUCCUGCAAAUAGAAAGUCUGAAGUAAUUAGAAAACCACAAAAGGAGAAUGGCCAACCCCUGUGGUGCCUAAUUAACUUUGAGACAUUCUUCUAUUGUUCCUUAUUCCUGCCUCAACUGAUAAGGCAACUGAACUUUGUAACUGACCUUGCUCAACUGAUAGGCCAACCUCGUGACACCAGACCCUAUGGCCCCCUCCCAGCUUGAAAAACUACUCUGAACUGUAACUUCUGUAAUUUUCCACUGCCUACCCCAAACCUA